GGGCCGUUAGCUCAACCGGUAGAGCAACUGACUCUUAAUCAGUAGGUCCCCAGUUCGAUCCUGGGACGGCCCACCA
RNAcentral lists this transfer RNA (76 nucleotides) under Deltaproteobacteria bacterium. RNAcentral's name for it is "tRNA-Lys". It matches the Rfam family "tRNA". Rfam says of the family: Transfer RNA (tRNA) molecules are approximately 80 nucleotides in length. Their secondary structure includes four short double-helical elements and three loops (D, anti-codon, and T loops). The record is from RNAcentral. Lineage: Bacteria; Pseudomonadati; Myxococcota; Myxococcia. RNAcentral also lists the same sequence under 1 other name.